Molecule: ribosomal RNA, 486 nt
Filed under: uncultured bacterium
Lineage: Bacteria
Description: bacterial SSU rRNA
Rfam family: Bacterial small subunit ribosomal RNA
Source: RNAcentral
AGAGUUUGAUCCUGGCUCAGAAUCAACGCUGGCGGCGUGCCUAACACAUGCAAGUCGCACGAGAAAAUGGAGCAAUCCAUGAGUAAAGUGGCGCACGGGUGAGUAACACGUGAAUGAUCUACCUCCGAGUGGGGAAUAACUGAGAGAAAUCUUAGCUAAUACCGCAUAAUACCCACGGGUCAAAGCAGCAAUGCGCUUGGAGAGGAGUUCGCGGCCGAUUAGUUAGUUGGCGGGGUAAUGGCCCACCAAGACGAUGAUCGGUAUCCGGCCUGAGAGGGCGCACGGACACACUGGAACUGAAACACGGUCCAGACUCCUACGGGAGGCAGCAGUGGGGAAUUUUGCGCAAUGGGGGAAACCCUGACGCAGCAACGCCGCGUGGAGGAUGAAAUCCCUUGGGAUGUAAACUCCUUUCGAUAGGGAAGAUUAUGACGGUACCUAUAGAAGAAGCCCCGGCUAACUUCGUGCCAGCAGCCGCGGUAAUAC